This 496-nucleotide ribosomal RNA is filed under the name uncultured bacterium. RNAcentral describes it as "partial 16S ribosomal RNA". It matches the Rfam family "Bacterial small subunit ribosomal RNA", at positions 28 to 506 of the family's 1533-position model. The record is from RNAcentral.
GAUGAACGCUGGCGGCGUGCCUAAUACAUGCAAGUCGAGCGAACAGAUGAGGAUCUUGCUCCUCUGACGUUAGCGGCGGACGGGUGAGUAACACGUGGAUAACCUACCUAUAAGACUGGGAUAACUUCGGGAAACCGGAGCUAAUACCGGAUAAUAUAUUGAACCGCAUGGUUCAAUAAUGAAAGACGGUUUUGCUGUCACUUAUAGAUGGAUCCGCGCCGCAUUAGCUAGUUGGUAAGGUAACGGCUUACCAAGGCAACGAUGCGUAGCCGACCUGAGAGGGUGAUCGGCCACACUGGAACUGAGACACGGUCCAGACUCCUACGGGAGGCAGCAGUAGGGAAUCUUCCGCAAUGGGCGAAAGCCUGACGGAGCAACGCCGCGUGAGUGAUGAAGGUCGUCGGAUCGUAAAACUCUGUUAUUAGGGAAGAACAAAUGUGUAAGUAACUAUGCACGUCUUGACGGUACCUAAUCAGAAAGCCACGGCUAACUACGU